RNAcentral lists this ribosomal RNA (562 nucleotides) under Apiognomonia sp. CBS 192.92. Its description in RNAcentral is "eukaryotic LSU rRNA". The stretch from base 223 to 376 matches the Rfam family "5.8S ribosomal RNA". The record is from RNAcentral. Lineage: Eukaryota; Fungi; Ascomycota; Sordariomycetes; Diaporthales; Gnomoniaceae.
UCAUUGCUGGAAUACAUGCCCCCCUCGUGGGGCACUACCCAGAAACCCCUUGCGAAUAUUAUAUCUCAACGUUGCCUCGGCAUAGCUGGCCUUUCUUUCUCAAGAGGGCCCCUCCGCCGCUGUCACUGACGGCGUGCAGAGGAGCAGGCUGGCCGGUGGCCCAACCAACUUCUGUUUUCCUUGUAUUGCCAUCUGAGUAUACAAACAAACAAAAUAAAUCAAAACUUUCAACAACGGAUCUCUUGGUUCUGGCAUCGAUGAAGAACGCAGCGAAAUGCGAUAAGUAAUGUGAAUUGCAGAAUUCAGUGAAUCAUCGAAUCUUUGAACGCACAUUGCGCCCGGUGGUAUUCCACCGGGCAUGCCUGUUCGAGCGUCAUUUCCACCCUCAAAGCACCAUUUUUUUGGUCUUUGGUGUUGGAGGCCUACCUGUCAAAGGGUAGCCUCUGAAAUGUAGUGGCGGGCUCGCUAGAAUUUGGAGCGUAGUAGUUUUACCUCGUUCUUAAAAGACUAGUGAGUAUCAACCAGCCGUAAAACCUCCCCGUCUGGGGAACACACUAUAUGA